RNAcentral lists this transfer RNA (61 nucleotides) under Dermacentor rhinocerinus. Its description in RNAcentral is "tRNA-Glu". The record is from RNAcentral. Lineage: Eukaryota; Metazoa; Arthropoda; Arachnida; Ixodida; Ixodidae.
AUUUAAAUAGUGUAAUAUAACACCUAACAUUUUCAUUGUUAUAAUCUCUCGAGUUUAAAUU